This 200-nucleotide ribosomal RNA is filed under the name uncultured bacterium. Its description in RNAcentral is "partial 16S ribosomal RNA". It matches the Rfam family "Bacterial small subunit ribosomal RNA", at positions 29 to 222 of the family's 1533-position model. The record is from RNAcentral.
AACGAACGCUGGCGGCAUGCCUAACACAUGCAAGUCGAACGGCAACAUGUUAUUAGUUUACUAUUAAUGAUGGCGAGUGGCGAACGGGUGAGUAACGCGUAGGAAUAUGUCUUAAAGAGUGGGACAACUUGGGGAAACUCAAGCUAAUACCGCAUAAUCUCUUAGGAGGAAAGCUGGGGACCGUAAGGCCUGGCGCUUUA